Molecule: ribosomal RNA, 737 nt
Filed under: unidentified archaeon
Lineage: Archaea
Description: bacterial SSU rRNA
Rfam family: Archaeal small subunit ribosomal RNA
Source: RNAcentral
UGGGGAUAAACCCGGGAAACUGGGUAUAAUACCCGAUAGAUCUCUAUUGCUGGAAUGCAUUGAGGUCUAAAGCUCCGGCGCCUAAGGAUGGGUCUGCGGCCUAUCAGGUAGUAGUGGGUGUAGCGUACCUACUAGCCUACGACGGGUACGGGUUGUGAGAGCAAGAGCCCGGAGAUGGAUUCUGAGACACGAAUCCAGGCCCUACGGGGUGCAGCAGGCGCGAAAACUUUACAAUGCUGGAAACAGCGAUAAGGGGACCUCGAGUGCCAGGUUACAAAUCUGGCUGUCGUGAUGCCUAAAAAGCAUUGCAUAGCAAGGGCCGGGCAAGACCGGUGCCAGCCGCCGCGGUAACACCGGCGGCUCGAGUGGUAACCGUUAUUAUUGGGUCUAAAGGGUCUGUAGCCGGCCGGAUAAGUCUCUUGGGAAAUCUGGCAGCUUAACUGUCAGGCUUUCAGGAGAUACUGUCUGGCUCGAGGCCGGGAGAGGUGAGAGGUACUUCAGGGGUAGGGGUGAAAUCUUGUAAUCCUUGAAGGACCACCAGUGGCGAAGGCGUCUCACCAGAACGGACCUGACGGCAAGGGACGAAAGCUAGGGGCACGAACCGGAUUAGAUACCCGGGUAGUCCUAGCCGUAAACGAUACUCGCUAGGUGUCGGCCACGGUGCGACCGUUGUCGGUGCCGUAGGGAAGCCGUGAAGCGAGCCACCUGGGAAGUACGGCCGCAAGGCUGAAACUUAA